RNAcentral lists this ribosomal RNA (842 nucleotides) under Aspergillus chevalieri. RNAcentral describes it as "eukaryotic LSU rRNA". It matches the Rfam family "Eukaryotic large subunit ribosomal RNA", at positions 70 to 919 of the family's 3401-position model. Lineage: Eukaryota; Fungi; Ascomycota; Eurotiomycetes; Eurotiales; Aspergillaceae. The record is from RNAcentral.
CGGGAUUGCCUCAGUAACGGCGAGUGAAGCGGCAAGAGCUCAAAUUUGAAAUCUGGCCCCUCCGGGGUCCGAGUUGUAAUUUGUAGAGGAUGCUUCGGGUGCGGCCCCCGUCUAAGUGCUCUGGAACGGGCCAUCGGAGAGGGUGAGAAUCCCGUCUGGGACGGGGUGUCCGCGUCCAUGUGAAGCUCCUUCGACGAGUCGAGUUGUUUGGGAAUGCAGCUCUAAAUGGGUGGUAAAUUUCAUCUAAAGCUAAAUACUGGCCGGAGACCGAUAGCGCACAAGUAGAGUGAUCGAAAGAUGAAAAGCACUUUGAAAAGAGAGUUAAACAGCACGUGAAAUUGUUGAAAGGGAAGCGCUUGCGACCAGACUCGCUUCCGGGGUUCAGCCGGCUUUCGGGCCGGUGUACUUCCCCGGGGGCGGGCCAGCGUCGGUUUGGGCGGCCGGUCAAAGGCCCCUGGAAUGUAACGCCUCUCGGGGCGCCUUAUAGCCAGGGGUGUCAUGCGGCCAGCCUGGACCGAGGAACGCGCUUCGGCACGGACGCUGGCAUAAUGGUCGUAAACGACCCGUCUUGAUACACGGACCAAGGAGUCUAACAUUCUACGCGAGUGUUUCGGGUGUCAAACCCGUGCUCGCAGUGAAAGCGAAACGGAGGUGGGAGCCCCCUCGCGGGGUCGCACCAUCGACCGAUCCUGAUGUUCUUCGGAUGGAUUUGAGUAAGAGUCGUAGCUGUGGGGACCCGAAAGAUGGUUGAACUAUGCCUGAAUAGGGCGAAGCCAGAGGAAACUCUGGUGGAGGUCUCGCAGCGGUUCUGACGUUGCAAAUCGAUCGUCAAAUUGGGUAUA